CAGCGGUGGCCGACUGCGCAGUGGCCGCCAGCUCGGCUCUGGAAGCCAGGGGACCCCAUAGGGGUCCUACUGACCCGCGGCUGGGCCUCACCCGGAGCCACAGGGCCAGGCGGGUCAGGCUGCCUAGGCCGAGCAACGCACCUGCUGGGCUCCAGCGCCACACAGAGAGCCCGGGAGUAGUCGCCCGGCUCUGGGCCCCCACGCGAGUCUCGCUGUGCGGCCGCCGUGCUCGCGGAAUGCGGGACAACGGCGCCUCCCGCCCCGCCAUGCCUGACGGAGCAGGAGAAUCAAGACACCUGAGAGCCUCCACAUGUUCAAGUGGCCUCUUACCAGAAGACAACUGUCCCCAACAAAACUUCCCACCGAAUCUAUUGCCUCAAAGUCAAUUCUGAAUUCCCGUAAAUAUUUCUACAUGUUUUGAUAGUGUUGAACCUCUGCCCUGAGACUAAGACGAGACAUCAGUGACACUUGUAACCAUCUUUCUUUCAAUGGCUUCCGAGGAAAGUCAGUCCCGUCUCGUCUCCACUUCUAUUUUCUGAUUAUCUCUCUUAAAGAAUUGAAGCAUUUGAUAAUAUAUUCACAUAACUAUUUUGAUAUUCAACAAGAAGGCAGUGUAUCUUGCAGUUAUCUUUAGAACUCAUCUUCAAGAGAAUUAAAAACAAAAGUUUGGGCUCUGCUAAAUAUUAUCUUUAAAAAAAACUCUUAGUAAUUAUUUUUAAUAUUAGCCAAGAACAAGCAGCACGUUAACUGCUCCUUGAAUGAAAAGAUGUGUUUCACUGAAGUCACUUAAGGCUAAGAAUCCAUUCUCUCAGCCCAACCGUGAGCUCCCACAUAAUCCCUGUGGCGAGAAGGGGUGCCAAAACUCCUUUUCCUCCAGUUUCCAGGAACCAAGCCAAGGAAGGCGUUCAGAAGCCUGUAUCUUAGGAAAGAUUCUAGACUGACCUUAGGAAGGAUCCAGCAACUGACUAAGCAGCACAAGAAAGCAUUUUUGAAGGACCAUAGCUGCUAAUGAGCACGUGUGGGGCAAAAGGAAAUCUGAGACAGCCUUUCUCCAUCAAGUUAGACUGAUGGGCUCAACUUGUAGUGUUGGAAGGGAAGCUGCAGGACUCAGCUUCACAUGCCACCGAGCACAGGUAUCUCUGCUAAUGGAGAUGGUAAAGCUUAGGCUUUUCUUUACAAAAGCGCUCCUGAAUUCAACUUGUCCUCCCAUUCUUUUCUCUUGUAAACUGUGUCUACAUGUGGGCAUGUGCCUGUGUGGGCAGUGUCUGAAGGACAGAGGCAUCAGAUCCCCUGGAGUUGAAUUAAGGAGUUAUCAUAGGAGUUAGGAAUUGAACGAACGUGGGUCCUUUGGAAGGACAGUAUGCAUUCUGAACUGCAGAGCCAUUUUUCCAGGUUCCUUGUCUCCCAACAAAACUCCCGCCUCACACCUCAUCUACAAGGCUGCCUCCCACCAAUCCACUGAGGACUUCUGCUUCAGCUAUGGCCCCUCUGGUCUCUUUAUGGUGUAAACACUUACUCCUCAGACAGCUUCCCUCAUGUAAGAUGACCCAAUUUCAUAAAAAUACUGGCAUCAAAGGUAGGAUACGCAAGGAAAGUCAGGAUAGAGUUCAGAUUCCUCAAGAAGAGGCUGAGUUUAUCAACUGUUUCAUCCAACAUUUGUAACUUUAUUUCAAAAUAUAAAUACUUUACAUUUUACAAAGAUGUUACAUCAGUAGGUUGUGAGAACAAAUUAAAGCUAAGAAACGGCAUUUGUGUAAUAAAGAAUAUUUAUUGUUUCAUCUGAA
This is a long non-coding RNA of Mastomys coucha (southern multimammate mouse), 1784 nucleotides long. RefSeq lists it as uncharacterized. The record is from RefSeq and is a predicted model, not a curated record. Lineage: Eukaryota; Metazoa; Chordata; Mammalia; Rodentia; Muridae. The transcript is spliced from 2 exons.